This 102-nucleotide non-coding RNA is filed under the name Virgibacillus sp. SK37. RNAcentral describes it as "SAM riboswitch aptamer (S box leader)". It matches the Rfam family "SAM riboswitch aptamer (S box leader)". From Rfam's summary of the family: The SAM riboswitch is found upstream of a number of genes which code for proteins involved in methionine or cysteine biosynthesis in Gram-positive bacteria. Lineage: Bacteria; Bacillati; Bacillota; Bacilli; Caryophanales; Bacillaceae. The record is from Rfam by way of RNAcentral. RNAcentral also lists the same sequence under 1 other name.
UUCUUAUCCAGAGAGGUGGAGGGACUGGCCCGACGAUACCUCGGCAACGGACUGAUUUAGUACCGUGCCAAUUCCAGCAGGCGUAUGCCUGAAAGAUAAGAA